AAGCAUUUAAUUGCCAUUGCAAGACUCACCAGAGCUCUCUUUUUCCUCCGGAAUGAGGGUUGGCAACCUUCAAGACGGUGAUUGCAACAUCAGCCUGGUUCCUCAGAACAUCAGUGUCUCCAUCCGUACAACAGAGGAAAGAACAUCUCCCCAGCCUUCUCAAGGACUGUGUUGACCACUGUGGCCAACAGACUCCAGAUCUGGAAACUCUGACUUAGGAGGAAUAAUUUCCCAAGCUGAGGUCACAAAUCCAUAAGUCACUCAACCAAGAUUUUAAAUCAGUAGGCCCUGUAUGGAUUUGGACAUGAUUAAAUCCAGGGCCUGGCCCUCAGGAAAUUUACAAUCUAAAGGAAAAAAUAAACAACUGCUGAUAAUGUGAAACAGAACGCACACUUUGCUAUAAUAAAAAUUGGAGGAAAGGGCUGAGGAGCAAAGAGGAAGUUCGUUCUAAUUGGUAAAUCCAAGAAGAUUCCUUUGAGGAAGUAACAUUGAAUUAAGCUUUGAAGACCCCAGGCACGCAGCAGUAUGGCGGGGACACAUGCCAUCACAUGGGAGCUGAGCUCCAGACAGGAAAACUUCCAGUUCAUGAGGAACCCAAACAGCAAGACACAUAACUUGUCUCACAAAAUAUUUUCAUCCUUCUGCAGAAUCUAUUAAAAGAUUUGAGGAAGCAAUGUGCUCAAGGAAGUUUGGACUCUACCCCAGCCCUAGAAGAUUAAACAUAAUUAGCCAAGCCAGCCAUGCUGAUUCCAUUUCCUUUACCAAUGAUUGGUGUGAGCGCGGGCAUAUGA
This is a long non-coding RNA of Prionailurus viverrinus (fishing cat), 791 nucleotides long. RefSeq lists it as uncharacterized. Lineage: Eukaryota; Metazoa; Chordata; Mammalia; Carnivora; Felidae. The record is from RefSeq and is a predicted model, not a curated record. The transcript is spliced from 6 exons.